This 127-nucleotide ribosomal RNA is filed under the name Gammaproteobacteria bacterium. RNAcentral's name for it is "partial 23S ribosomal RNA". The stretch from base 1 to 109 matches the Rfam family "Bacterial large subunit ribosomal RNA", at positions 2813 to 2925 of the family's 2925-position model. Lineage: Bacteria; Pseudomonadati; Pseudomonadota; Gammaproteobacteria. The record is from RNAcentral.
CUCGAGGUCCCUGAAGGUCCGUCGAAGACUACGACGUUGAUAGGCUGGAUGUGGAAGCGCAGCAAUGCGUGCAGCUAACCAGUACUAAUCGACCGUGCGGCUUGACCAUAUAACGCCCAAGCGGUCU